CCGAGAUCAAAUUCUACCAGUGAGACAGAGCAGUUGUCGUUGUGAAUGUCAGUAGUGCUUGCUGAUCUGCCUGGAGAGAGAGAGUCCAGAGCGCACAGGUUCUUACCUGCUCAAAUCCUGCUCUCCUAGUUCCCUGAUGCCAUGCCAAACUAAUUGUGAUGUCCGUGCCACACUAACUG
Molecule: long non-coding RNA, 179 nt
Organism: Sinocyclocheilus rhinocerous
Lineage: Eukaryota; Metazoa; Chordata; Actinopteri; Cypriniformes; Cyprinidae
Exons: 2
Source: RefSeq, a predicted model, not a curated record